Nasonia vitripennis (jewel wasp) is the source of this 3979-nucleotide RNA transcript. It is a transcript of the gene named adenosylhomocysteinase-like 1, with no coding region annotated. Lineage: Eukaryota; Metazoa; Arthropoda; Insecta; Hymenoptera; Pteromalidae. The transcript has 12 exons. The record is from RefSeq and is a predicted model, not a curated record.
CGUCGACUCGUCGCGGUCAGUGCAGUGCGCGCGCGCACCCAGUGCGUACCCAAUCUCUCCGUCUCUCUCGCUCUCCGUCUCUUCUCCCGUCAUCACAUACAAUAACACUCGCAUCUUUGCGGAGCGAUCCCGGAGCAGCAGUUCCCUCGACGUCCGGCCAACCCGGACCUCCCUAUGAGUAGUCGGACAGAACCGAAGCAGCUUCUCGGCUGUGAAUAAUAGCUGUACUCGUACACUCAAUACUUAAUCGAGUCGCGACUCCGAGAGCAGCAGCGAGAGUAGCCUCACACACUCCGAGCGAAAUGGCCGACGCCGCGGAGACAGCCUCGACCAGCAAGCAGCAGCAGCCCAGGGGCUCCGUCAGCGACGGACCCGUUGUGGCCGAUCCCUCCUCGAGCGGCACCAAGAGCCUAGAGGCAACAAAUAAUGCCUUUCACGGCGCGAGAUCGAAAUUAGAAGCCAAGUCCAGCGCCUUGAAGAAGGCCGGCAGGUACAGGAGCCGCUCCUUGUCCGCCAGUAGCACCGACAGCUACAGUUCCGCGUCUUAUACAGGAAGCAGCAGCGAGGAGGACGACGUCUCGCCGCGCGAGAAGAUCCAGAAGACGGAGAAGGGCUUCACGGAUUUCUGCGUCAGGAACAUCGAUCAGCAUGCCUUCGGCAGGAGGGAGAUCGAGAUCGCCGAGCAGGAGAUGCCCGGCAUCAUGGCGCUGCGCAAACGCGCUAAGGACGACAAGCCGCUGAAGAACGCGAAGAUCGUGGGCUGCACGCACAUAAACGCCCAGACUGCGGUCCUGGUGGAGACGCUGGUCGAGCUCGGAGCCCAGGUGCGAUGGGCCGCGUGCAACAUCUACUCGACGCAGAACGAGGUGGCCGCGGCCUUGGCCCACGAGGGCUACCCGGUUUACGCCUGGCGCGCCGAGACCGAGGAGGACUUCUGGUGGUGCAUCGACAAGUGCAUCAACGCCGAGAACUGGCAGCCGAACAUGAUACUCGACGACGGCGGCGACGCCACGCACCUCAUGCUCAAGAAGUACAACGCCAUGUUCAAGAUGAUCAAAGGUAUCGUCGAGGAGAGCGUAACAGGUGUGCACCGGCUGUACCAGCUGUCCAAGGCGAACAAGCUCUCGGUGCCAGCGAUGAACGUCAACGACAGCGUCACCAAGACCAAAUUCGAUAAUCUCUACAGCUGCCGCGAGAGCAUUAUCGACAGUCUGAAGAGGUCAACCGAUGUGAUGUUCGGUGGUAAGCAGGUCGUCAUCUGCGGCUACGGCGAGGUCGGCAAGGGUUGCUGCCAGGCGCUCAAGGGCCUCGGCUGCAUCGUCUACAUCACCGAGAUCGAUCCGAUUUGCGCCCUUCAGGCAAGUAUGGACGGCUUUAGAGUGGUUAAGCUGAACGAAGUCAUACGGAACGUCGACAUCGUCAUCACCGCCACCGGUAACAAGAACGUCGUGACGCGCGAACACAUGGACAAGAUGAAGAACGGCUGCGUUGUGUGCAAUAUGGGACACAGCAAUACGGAAAUUGAUAUUAAUAGCUUACGCACGUCAGACUUGACAUGGGAGAAGGUCCGCUCGCAGGUGGAUCACGUAAUCUGGCCGGAUGGCAAGCGAAUCGUCCUCCUGGCCGAGGGCCGUUUAGUCAAUCUCUCGUGUUCCAGUAUUCCGUCCUUCGUAGUUUCCAUUACGGCUGCGACCCAGGCACUCGCUCUCAUCGAACUGUUUAACGCUCCUCAAGGCCGCUACAAGAGCGACGUUUACUUACUGCCUAAAAAGAUGGAUGAGUACGUCGCUUCACUGCAUCUACCUACGUUCGAUGCUCACUUGACGGAACUCACGGACGAACAGGCCAAGUACAUGGGCUUGAAUAAAGCCGGACCCUUCAAACCUAAUUAUUAUCGAUGCCUUUCUCAUGUUCUGGCGUUUCGAAUGAAACAAAAGUUUUUACAAAGUCAAAUUCAUAAAUAGAAGACAAAUAAGAGCAAAAUACGAAGUAUAUGCGAUUUAGCGUAGGGAAAACUAUAAAACAUCGCGGUAGGGCUAAAAUCACAAAUUUAUACUAUGUAUAUUUUAUUGUUGUGAACCUUUUUUUAAAUCAUUUUCAUAAAAAAAACUACUAAAUUGGAAAACGGGUAGGACAGUAAAAAAAAUGUGGAUCUGUGGGAUCACCGUUCCGAUCCACCAAUAAGAGAGACACAAGCAUACAUAAUUAAAAAGAGACUUACUAUGAUGCAGAGCAGUAUUUCAAUUUCAAGUGAGAGAAGAAGAACGCGUAAGGACUGUGCUUAAUUCAACCGUCAAAUACCAUACAAUUGAAAAAGGGAGGAUGGACUAACACGUUGAAUGUCAAGAAAACACGUACAUCAUUCCAAGCAAAGAGUUAAUUCAUUAUUAUUAUUAAUGGCAAACGUUUCGUUCGCUUGUACAUACCUGCUGUUACUAUACUCGGCUGGACGAGUAAAUCGUUGCAAUGAUUAGGAGAUCUUUUGAAAAAACGAAAAGAGCGUGCAAAAAACAAUGUAGUCUAUUUUGUAAAUACUAUGGUGAGCGUACGAUCUUGCGAGGCACACGAGGGCGUGUAACGUCGACUCAUCGCCUCUGAAGAGAACGCUUGCAGUUUUUAACGGACGGUCUUUGGAAAAUCAAUUUUUAUGACUUUGAGCCGUGUUAUUAGAUCGGAUUCAUAAGCGAUAGUUUUUAAGAUUCAUUCCAGAGAUUGUUGAGAUUUGCAGGCAACGUGUAAAUACAGUUUUGUUCAAGGAAUCCUUAGUUCGUUGAGAUUCGCCAAAUACUCCAGGUUCGUAAAGUUUUACUGCAUGAAAUUCAGUGGCAAAUAUGAAGUUUGCCACUUUUUAACGAGAUACCACAAUGUACAUAAUAGUAGAGUCGAUUAAAAUAAUAGUCGUUUUUUUUUUAAUAGAUCUUUACGGUAGUGUUUAUCGUUAAUUUUACCGCGUACUUGUUAUAUCGCUGAAAAUCGUAAAAUAUUGAUUUUCAAGACUUGUCAGCCAUGUAUGUGUGAGCAGUCAAAGUACGUAGAUUCGUUACCGAAGGUUACUUUUACGCCUCGUAAAGCCGGAUUGUACCUCUGCUUUGACUGUUGUAGGAACCAACAAAUAAAAUCUCCUGUGCUAUGUAAGAGAUAGGAAAAACUUAACGAAUUGACCGAGCGACCGCACUUUUGGCGUGUGAAUGAUAUCUUAGGCAAAAAAUAUAAUAUCGAGGAAAAAAGGCGUUUGAACAGUAUUUAGCGAAACACUCAUACAGUUACUUACUUGUCACCCGCAACGAGUGAGCAGAGCGAAUGCACUAAAAUUCGACUCGGCGUAGCAGAGAGCUUAGCGUAUUGUGAACUAGAUUGAUGAAAAUAAUUCCAAUGCCAAUUAUCGAGUACUAUGAAGAACGAAGCAAAGCGAACCGAAAAUAGUUAUACAUAAUUACGUGAUGUGAAAAUAUUUUACCCGAACGAGUGUUUAAAAGUGCUAACUAUGUAUAAUUCCCAUUUUCGAGCAGCUGUCGCAUUGUGUUACAGCGGCAGAGAAAAGAUGUUGUUCCUACCGUUUUCACGCUUAGCUAAAGAAAAUAAAAGAUUUUAAAAAGUGAAGUAAGAAGGCCUAAGAUUUUUGGAGCCUUUUUCGUGCUCGACAUCAGCCAGUCUUUUUUUCAUUGGGUCUAUUUCAAAAGAAAUGUCUUUUUUUCUUGAUUAUAUUAGAAACGAGACAAAGAACUCGCAUUAGCCUUCUUAAGUACGAAGACAAAAAAAACUAAGGAAAAACUUUGCAAAGAUGUACUUUGUUAUGUGCGUUAUUGUGGAAGCUUCGUUCACGCGAGCACGAUGUUUUUCAUCGAGCGCUAAUGUGAAGACGGUAUUACUCCAAGAAUUAGCAGUGAAAACAAAUAACAUGUACAUCUGUGUCACUAGUAUUUUUGUAAAAUAAUGUUGUAGACCGUAAAUAAACUACGGACGACUUUGAAAGAUUCAA